UUGUGGAGGAGGACGCCGAAGGUGGGGCUAAUGACUGGGGUGAAGUCGUAACAAGGUAGCCGUACCGGAAGGUGCGGCUGGAUCACCUCCUAACAGGGAGACAACAAAAUGUUUAAUAUUAUUUUGUCACCUUAGGUCGAUCGGUAUCUCACGUUCUUAUUUUUUAAGAAUUUCAUUUCCUAAGUUUUUCUAGGUCACACCCAUUAUUUUUCCUGGGCCAUUAGCUCAGGUGGUUAGAGCGCACCCCUGAUAAGGGUGAGGUCCCUGGUUCAAGUCCAGGAUGGCCCAUAUCUCUAUGUUGGGGGUAUAGCUCAGUUGGUAGAGCGCCUGCUUUGCAAGCAGGAUGUCAGCGGUUCGAGUCCGCUUACCUCCACUGAUUACCACCUCUUCCAUAAUCUGUAGAAAGGAAAUGUUUUGAGUUGUGAUCAAAUUCUGAACGAAUCUAGCUUCCUAAUGAAAACAUUAAGAUGCUGGACUCAUUGAAUUAAUUUCAUUGGUUUCAGGGAACCUUGACAACUGCAUAGAUUAUUUUAAAGACAAUAAGCAUUUUUAAUGAUGCAGAUUUAUUAUUUAUGCGAAUGCAUUAAAUAACAAUUCUAUUAAGCUGAUGCUUCAAUUUUGAAGUUAUUGGUCAAGCUACAA
Molecule: unclassified non-coding RNA, 642 nt
Filed under: uncultured Prochlorococcus sp.
Lineage: Bacteria; Bacillati; Cyanobacteriota; Cyanophyceae; Synechococcales; Prochlorococcaceae
Description: partial 16S-23S ribosomal RNA intergenic spacer; may also contain 16S ribosomal RNA and 23S ribosomal RNA
Rfam family: tRNA (bases 301-373)
Source: RNAcentral